UUUGGAAUUGAUAUGUGUGAUAAUGAUGUUAGCUUUUUAAAAAUGUUGUGCGCGAGGAAGUGAUUGCAUGACGUCAUUUGGAGGAGGAACUAAAUGUGAUGUGAGUGAGUUUCUAUGCUUCCGCAGCUGAUUUAUAGUAUACAAUACUGGUAAAUUUGAUUUGUAUGAACAAUUUGGAUUGGAGAAGAAGUGUUCGGCUAAUAUAUUUCAAAAACUCUGUGGGCUUUCAA
Molecule: long non-coding RNA, 230 nt
Filed under: Brassica napus (rape)
Lineage: Eukaryota; Viridiplantae; Streptophyta; Magnoliopsida; Brassicales; Brassicaceae
Description: long non-coding RNA (BNAP_LNC017395)
Source: RNAcentral